UACGUAGGGUGCGAGCGUUGUCCGGAAUUAUUGGGCGUAAAGGGCUCGUAGGCGGUUUGUCGCGUCGGGAGUGAAAACCCAGGGCUUAACCCUGGGCUGGCUUUCGAUACGGGCAGACUAGAGGUAUGCAGGGGAGAACGGAAUUCCUGGUGUAGCGGUGAAAUGCGUAGAUAUCGGGAGGAACACCAGUGGCGAAGGCGACUUCCUGGCCUGUUCUUGACGCUGAGGCGCGAAAGCUAGGGGAGCAAACGGG
RNAcentral lists this ribosomal RNA (253 nucleotides) under uncultured bacterium. RNAcentral's name for it is "partial 16S ribosomal RNA". It matches the Rfam family "Bacterial small subunit ribosomal RNA", at positions 524 to 776 of the family's 1533-position model. The record is from RNAcentral.